Molecule: ribosomal RNA, 433 nt
Filed under: uncultured bacterium
Lineage: Bacteria
Description: partial 16S ribosomal RNA
Rfam family: Bacterial small subunit ribosomal RNA
Source: RNAcentral
AACGAACGCUGGCGGCAUGCCUAACACAUGCAAGUCGAACGAGACCUUCGGGUCUAGUGGCGCACGGGUGCGUAACGCGUGGGAACCUGCCCUUAGGUUCGGAAUAACUCCCCGAAAGGGGUGCUAAUACCGGAUAAUGUCUUCGGACCAAAGAUUUAUCGCCUUUGGAUGGGCCCGCGUUGGAUUAGCUAGUUGGUAGGGUAAAAGCCUACCAAGGCGACGAUCCAUAGCUGUUCUGAGAGGAUGAUCAGCCACACUGGGACUGAGACGCGGCCCAGACUCCUACGGGAGGCAGCAGUGGGGAAUAUUGGACAAUGGGCGAAAGCCUGAUCCAGCAAUGCCGCGUGAGUGAUGAAGGCCUUAGGGUUGUAAAGCUCUUUUACCCGGGAUGAUAAUGACAGUACCGGGAGAAUAAGCUCCGGCUAACUCCGUG